UCUGUGGGGCACCCAAUUUGUUAGCGAAGAGCCUGGCUUAAGAAAAAAAGCUAGCAAACGAAGACUUGGGUGCGCACACAUAGAUCAAAAGACAAAUAGACAGAUAGAUAGGUAGACAGAUAGACAGACAGAGAGAAGAAAAAUGAAAAUCAUUAGAGGCACAUAUUUGGUCCAAGAUAAUCAUGGCUAGCUGAGGCUAUUAAAGCUAACCGAGGCAACCUUUAAUAGCCUCCUCCUUUUUUAACAUCAGCAGGUCUUUUCCACACCAUCAACCUCUCCGGGCCCAGAGAUACAACAAACUCACUCCAAAAUGAAAGCUCCCUCCUUUGUAAAAGCUCCAAUACGGCUGUGGCCACUAGGCAACCAU
RNAcentral lists this long non-coding RNA (367 nucleotides) under Phoenix dactylifera (date palm). Its description in RNAcentral is "long non-coding RNA (PDAC_LNC001033)". Lineage: Eukaryota; Viridiplantae; Streptophyta; Magnoliopsida; Arecales; Arecaceae. The record is from RNAcentral.